This 488-nucleotide ribosomal RNA is filed under the name uncultured Lachnospiraceae bacterium. Its description in RNAcentral is "partial 16S ribosomal RNA". Lineage: Bacteria; Bacillati; Bacillota; Clostridia; Lachnospirales; Lachnospiraceae. The record is from RNAcentral.
CACGUAGUUAGCCGGGGCUUCUUAGUCAGGUACCGUCAUUUUCUUCCCUGCUGAUAGAGCUUUACGUACCGAAAUACUUCUUCACUCACGCGGCGUCGCUGCAUCAGGGUUUCCCCCAUUGUGCAAUAUUCCCCACUGCUGCCUCCCGUAGGAGUUUGGGCCGUGUCUCAGUCCCAAUGUGGCCGUUCACCCUCUCAGGCCGGCUACUGAUCGUCGCCUUGGUGGGCCUUUACCCCGCCAACCAGCUAAUCAGACGCGGAUCCAUCGUAUACCACCGGAGUUUUUCACACUGCUUCAUGCGAAGCUGUGCGCUUAUGCGGUAUUAGCACCUAUUUCUAAGUGUUAUCCCCCAGUAUACGGCAGGUUCUCCACGCGUUACUCACCCGUCCGCCACUAACUCAUAUAUCACUAGGUUUCAAUAUGAGUCCGUUCGACUUGCAUGUGUUAAGCACGCCGCCAGCGUUCAUCCUGAGCCAGGAUCAAACUCU